RNAcentral lists this transfer-messenger RNA (354 nucleotides) under Anaerovoracaceae. Its description in RNAcentral is "RUG099 sp900317675 Standard tmRNA". It matches the Rfam family "transfer-messenger RNA". From Rfam's summary of the family: Bacterial tmRNA, also known as 10Sa RNA or SsrA, is named for its dual tRNA and mRNA-like properties. Lineage: Bacteria; Bacillati; Bacillota; Clostridia; Peptostreptococcales. The record is from RNAcentral. RNAcentral also lists the same sequence under 1 other name.
GGGGACGCACUGGUUUCGACAGGUGUGUGGAACGAAGAUAAGCAUGCCGUGGCGGUGAUCCACGUAAAAAGUACCCGUUAAAAAGAAACGCAAAAACAAACAACAAUUUCGCACUCGCUGCAUAGUUCAGCACCGCGCGUCGGCCCGGAUUCACCUGCAGGUCCGGUACCCGGCGUCAUGAAUGCAGGAAACCUCUUGCGUGACCUCCCGUUAGCGUAAGAGGACCAAACGGGAUGGUCUGAUGCGAGUCCGCCGUGUGACGCCCAUCAGGCGAGAUCAAAUACCCGGCUAAGCAUGUAGAAAGUUUUCCGGAAAUAUUCUUGGACGUGGGUUCGAUUCCCACCGUCUCCACCA